CCCGGCAUCGCACUCGCCCGACGCGGCCGCGCGCGGAGAUUAUGACAUCCGCCGCGACCGGCGCAAGUGGAGCCGCUCCCGGUCGCCCUCCAGCCGCUCCGCCUCGCGCGGCCGCAGCCGCAGCCUCUCGCGCAGCGGGUGAGAGUUACUCUGAUUGGGAAUUCACUAGGCUUUUUGAUUUGUGCUAUUGCCGCUGUUGACGCUCAUUAACACGCCAUUAACAUGCCAUCUGCUGAGUUCUUUUGGCCUCCCCAGGGUGCCUUCCCAGGGUGCCGCUCAAGAUGUCUUUGAAUGUUGGGAUUUCAUUUCCAUCUCAGCGUUCUGCGGACUGCAAUCGCCUGGGUUUAGGUCGGCUCUGGCGGAAGCUUUCGUGGGCGAGUGUGGCAAUUUGUAUUGUGUGCUUUGGCUUAAGAAGUACUGGGUGAGGCAUGCCUGGUGGUUGUGAAAUGAGGGUGAGGUGUUUCUUGGUGCAGGAGUGCCAGGAGCAUGAGUCGCAGCUACAGCAGGAGCGUGAGUAGGAGCCGCAGCUACACCAGGAGCCCAAGGUGCGGGGUUUUGACCAGAUUAGACUUGUUUCCAAAUCUACGUCUUGCCUGCCUUUUUGAAUGUACCGGGUAGGCCUUUCAGCAGUCUUACUGACACAGCCAAUUGCUGCGCGCAGGAGGGAUGGUACAAGAGGCCGCAGGGGCCGGCAGUCUAGCCCUGGAUA
This 709-nucleotide long non-coding RNA is filed under the name Coccomyxa subellipsoidea. RNAcentral's name for it is "long non-coding RNA (CSUB_LNC000232)". Lineage: Eukaryota; Viridiplantae; Chlorophyta; Trebouxiophyceae; Coccomyxaceae. The record is from RNAcentral.